GCAAUUUUUUUUUCUUUUUAUAAUGUCUUGUUUAAGGUGCUAUCCCCGUUAUGUCUUGCUGGAGGGUAUUGAGGAUUAUUAUUUCGAAGGGUAUUUGGUCACUAGAGCUAGGGUAGCCCACAAGGAUAUUUAGUCUGCUCUGUUCUAAGUGCAAAUUCCAUUGAUUCCUAACAUUUUCUUCUACUGUUUUGAUGAUAGGGACAUAUCCAACAAAAAGGGGACAAAAAAAAGAGCAGAAGAUUACCAAACUAGCCAAAACAGUAUUCCAAGAAUAGGAGAGUAGGGUGGAAAUAUUUCUUUUUAGGAAGAAAAGAUAGUAUGCUGCCACUGUAUUCAUUAAGAAAAAUGAACUAAUCUUCGAGAGAAUGAGGCAACAACAUCUGGGAGAAGGAAAGAAAGCAAAAGAAACAGAAGAGAGCGAAAAGAUAGUAUGCUGGUUUAAGGUUCUCUUCUGAUGCAGGAAAGUAGUAUUGUUCCUUUCAAGCCAAAUUAUCCAUCAGGAGGCAAAUAAUUGAUGCAUUAAUCUGAUUUCUAUGUAGAAGGGACUCCCAUAAGACACAUACUGAAACCGGUUCGGAACGGAUUAGAAGCUCAAGCUAAGUAGAAGGGGGUCCAGUGUAGACGCAUCCUGAGAACAAAUGGCUGUUCUCUGGAAUUUUCGACUUCCAAAUUUGUGGGUGUUAGGAUCUCUUACGCCUCCAUCUACAACAACAUUGUAAAGCGAUUUGACCGUGAAGGAUUGAGAGGAAAUUUUGGAUCUGAUUCAGUGCCUGGAACUUGAAUAGUUGAAAUACUUCAAUUAUUAGACGAAAUUUUGAACUACUUAGCUGACAAAAAAAAAGAGGAGGAAAAAAAAAGGGAUGACAAACUGAAACAGAGAAACCAUAUGCCAACGUUCCAAAGUAUCAUGUUUGGAUUCAAAACCAUAUUUAGGAGGGAUACAUAUAUUGUAGUAGUAGUAUUCAACUUACCUGAUUGGAAGUAUGUAAUACAACAACUUGUUUAGCUGGAGAAAUAGAAAUGCUAUGAGAGUUUUUGGAAUGUUUGUUCAGACCUAUAUUAUAUUGUUUCUUAUCAGAUGUAUUUUUGUGUUUCGUUUAGAAACCUGGAUCUCCAAAAACAGAAGAACCCUAUAUUCUUAGCACGACACUCCCUGUGACUUUCUCUCAAUAUUUUUUUUUUGAGAAAAAGGUAGCAAGCUACCUGCUUCAUUCAUAAAGUGGGAUGAAUUAAGCGUACAAGGUGGAAGCAACGAUGGCCUCCGAAAACGGCAAAAGGAGAAAACAGAGAUAAAGAAAAAAGGAGAAAAGAAACAAAGUAAGCUAGUACAAGAGUUAGGUCAGGUCAGUAUACUCUAGUCUCGAAUCAAACUGUUGAUACGUCCCGCCGAGUGGACUGCGUUUGGGGGUGCGUCCCGAAAGAUGACCGAGUUUCUAUCUGACCAGACGACCCACCAGGUUGCCGCCAGAUGAGUUAAGCCUUUAAGUUUCAACACGUCGUUUGGAGUUUCUGAUACUUUUGCCCAAAGAUUGCACACUGCUCCUGUGGUAUCAAGAAAUGCAUCGAGGUCCGCUGUAGAGAGUAGAAGGAAGCGAACAAAGAUGCAGUUAGCGAAAAGAUGAUCACAGCUUUCUGGGAGAACCCCGCAUAGCACACAAAGCGGAUCUACGGACAUGCCUCUGGUGAGCAGCCUGUCAGAAGUGAGAAGUCUCUUUCGAAGCAACGUCCAGAUGAAGAUCUUAAUUUUGGUUGGAAUCUUCAAGGUCCAGAUAUGUUGAUUUCACCGAUCUCUACAUCCCCCAUCUGUGAUGAACUGGUAAUGGGAUUUAACCGAAAACAGGUGAUGACUACAUAAUAUUGUAUGUCACGUGCACUUUCUCUCAAUAUUGUAUAGUGAUGACUACAUAAUCAAAUGGACUAUGUCACGUGCACUGACUAGAGAGACAAAAAUCACACAGUUAUAUGGCGGAUGUAGGAAUUGAACUUAAAACGACUUGGAAUGGAAGGGUAUUAGA
Long non-coding RNA from Ananas comosus (pineapple), 2015 nucleotides. RefSeq lists it as uncharacterized. The record is from RefSeq and is a predicted model, not a curated record. NCBI's taxonomy places the organism in Eukaryota, Viridiplantae, Streptophyta, Magnoliopsida, Poales, Bromeliaceae. The transcript is spliced from 3 exons.